AUGGCGGCAAAGAAACAUCUUUUUUGCUUUGGGUCUUUCGCGAUAAAGGACGGGACAGAGAUUCGUUUCUGGGAAGACAUCUGGCUAGGCAAUGCCAGUCUUCGAGAACAAUAUCCAGCCUUGUACAUCAUUGCUCGCGAGAAGAAUAAUACUAUUGCGCAGGUGCUCAGUUCAUCCCCGCCGAAUAUUUCGUUCAGGCGGGAUUUGAUUGGGCCUCGCCUUACGUCAUGGCAUAAUCUAUUGUCCAAGCUGGAUUCGAUUAACCUGACACAAGGCCGAAAUGUGUUUCGCUAGAACCUUACUACAUCGGGGUCUUUCACAGUAGACUCCAUGUAUCGUGCACUCACGCAUUCUGAGGUACCGAUGAAUAAUAAUAAGUGUUGGAAAUAUGCCCUAGAGGCAAUAAUAAAAUGGUUAUUAUUAUAUUUCCUUGUUCAUGAUAAUUGUCUAUUGUUCAUGCUAUAA
Molecule: ribosomal RNA, 465 nt
Filed under: Triticum aestivum (bread wheat)
Lineage: Eukaryota; Viridiplantae; Streptophyta; Magnoliopsida; Poales; Poaceae
Description: partial small subunit ribosomal RNA
Source: RNAcentral